CCCCACCAGGCCCCCCCGGCCCACGAGGUGCUCCUGGCUCUCAGGGAAGAGCAGGAGAGCCGGGUCCUCGGGGGUUCCCAGGGCUGCCGGGAGCUCCUGGUGUGCGGGGGCUGCACGGCAUGCCUGGGAAGCCUGGCUUAGCGGGGGAAAUGGGGGCACCUGGAGCAGCAGGGGCUGCCGGCCCUCCUGGGUACCCGGGCCGAGAAGGUCCAAGAGGACCUGAGGGGCCUUCAGGGAUGCGAGGCGAGCAGGGUGUCCUGGGGUAUCCUGGGGAAGCUGGUGUCAGUGGGUUGGAUGGGCCAGGUUGGUGUCAGUGGUGCCAUAGGACCCGCCGGAGCCCGGGGACGUUCUGUGAGUCAGCACAUCCCCAUCCCAUUGGGGUGGCUGCAGACCCUGGCAAUGGGACACCUGUGAGCGGGAUGCUGGGCUGCAGCCUGGCUCUAGUGGGUCAGUGGAUCUUUUUCUCUGCCCCAAACAGGGUGGGAUAG
Molecule: long non-coding RNA, 488 nt
Filed under: Phasianus colchicus (ring-necked pheasant)
Lineage: Eukaryota; Metazoa; Chordata; Aves; Galliformes; Phasianidae
Description: lncRNA (ENSPCLG00000013021.1)
Source: RNAcentral